AGUGAACGCUGGCGGUAGGCCUAACACAUGCAAGUCGAACGGCAGCACAGUAAGAGCUUGCUCUUACGGGUGGCGAGUGGCGGACGGGUGAGGAAUACAUCGGAAUCUACUUUUUCGUGGGGGAUAACGUAGGGAAACUUACGCUAAUACCGCAUACGACCUACGGGUGAAAGCAGUGGAUCUUCGGACCUUGCGCGAUUGAAUGAGCCGAUGUCGGAUUAGCUAGUUGGCGGGGUAAAGGCCCACCAAGGCGACGAUCCGUAGCUGGUCUGAGAGGAUGAUCAGCCACACUGGAACUGAGACACGGUCCAGACUCCUACGGGAGGCAGCAGUGGGGAAUAUUGGACAAUGGGCGCAAGCCUGAUCCAGCCAUACCGCGUAGGUGAAGAAGGCCUUCGGGUUGUAAAGCCCUUUUGUUGGGAAAGAAAAGCAGCAGGUUAAUACCCCGCUGUUCUGACGGUACCCAAAGAAUAAGCACCGGCUAACUUCGUG
RNAcentral lists this ribosomal RNA (492 nucleotides) under uncultured bacterium. RNAcentral describes it as "partial 16S ribosomal RNA". It matches the Rfam family "Bacterial small subunit ribosomal RNA", at positions 29 to 507 of the family's 1533-position model. The record is from RNAcentral.